GACGAACGCUGGCGGCGUGCUUAACACAUGCAAGUCGAACGGUGAAGCGCCUUCCUUUUUGGUGGGUGUGGAUGAGUGGCGAACGGGUGAGUAACACGUGAGUAACCUGCCCCCUUCUUCUGGAUAACCGCAUGAAAGUGUGGCUAAUACGGGAUAUUCUGGGUCUGUCGCAUGAUGGGUCUGGGAAAGAUAUUGUUUCGGUGGGGGAUGGGCUCGCGGCCUAUCAGCUUGUUGGUGGGGUGAUGGCCUACCAAGGCGGUGACGGGUAGCCGGCCUGAGAGGGUGGACGGUCACACUGGGAUUGAGACACGGCCCAGACUCCUACGGGAGGCAGCAGUGGGGAAUAUUGCACAAUGGGCGCAAGCCUGAUGCAGCGACGCCGCGUGAGGGAUGGAGGCCUUCGGGUUGUGAACCUCUUUCGCCAGUGAAGCAGGCCUGCCUCGUUUGUGGGUGGGUUGACGGUAGCUGGAUAAGAAGCGCCGGCUAACUACGUG
Molecule: ribosomal RNA, 494 nt
Filed under: uncultured bacterium
Lineage: Bacteria
Description: partial 16S ribosomal RNA
Rfam family: Bacterial small subunit ribosomal RNA
Source: RNAcentral